RNAcentral lists this ribosomal RNA (253 nucleotides) under uncultured bacterium. RNAcentral's name for it is "partial 16S ribosomal RNA". It matches the Rfam family "Bacterial small subunit ribosomal RNA", at positions 524 to 776 of the family's 1533-position model. The record is from RNAcentral.
GACAGAGGUGCCAAGCGUUAGGCGGAAUCACUGGGCUUAAAGCGUGUGUAGGCGGAUUGGUAAGUACCUUGUGAAAUCCCACGGCUCAACCGUGGAACUGCUUGGUAUACUGCUUAUCUUGAGCCACUUAGGGGCUACCGGAACAAAUGGUGGAGCGGUGAAAUGCGUAGAUAUCAGGAGGAACACCGAUGGCGAAGGCAGCUCGCUGGGACGGUACUGACGCUGAGGCGCGAAAGCGUGGGGAGCAAACAGG